UGUAAUGCUUAACGUAUCUCCAUGGUCUC
This 29-nucleotide non-coding RNA is filed under the name Mus musculus (house mouse). Lineage: Eukaryota; Metazoa; Chordata; Mammalia; Rodentia; Muridae. The record is from RNAcentral.